Molecule: ribosomal RNA, 519 nt
Filed under: uncultured Acidobacteriota bacterium
Lineage: Bacteria; Pseudomonadati; Acidobacteriota
Description: bacterial SSU rRNA
Rfam family: Bacterial small subunit ribosomal RNA
Source: RNAcentral
CGACGCAACGCCGCGUGGAGGACGAAGAUCUUCGGGUCGUAAACUCCUGUCGAGCGGGAAGAAACCCGCGGGGGUGAAUAAUCCCUGCGGCUGACGGUACCGCUAAAGGAAGCCCCGGCUAACUCCGUGCCAGCAGCCGCGGUAAUACGGGGGGGGCAAGCGUUGUUCGGAAUUACUGGGCGUAAAGGGCUCGUAGGCGGCCAACUAAGUCGGAUGUGAAAUCCCCAGGCUCAACCUGGGAACUGCAUCCGAUACUGGAUGGCUUGAAUCCGGGUGAGGGAUGCAGAAUUCCAGGUGUAGCGGUGAAAUGCGUAGAUAUCUGGAGGAAUACCGGUGGCGAAGGCGGCAUCCUGGACCGGCAUUGACGCUGAGGAGCGAAAGCCAGGGGAGCAAACGGGAUUAGAUACCCCGGUAGUCCUGGCCCUAAACGAUGAAUGCUUGGUGUGACGGGUAUCGAUCCCUGUCGUGCCGAAGCUAACGCAUUAAGCAUUCCGCCUGGGGAGUACGGUCGCAAGGCUG